ACGGCACGUCCCGGCUGAUGCCGUGCUGGCUUGCCGGUCCUCUUUCCGGUCUGCUGCUUGAAGCCGCCACUGUUUCUCCACGUGCCCGGCGUGGUAGGGCACCAGGUCUCUCGAGCCCGUGCCAGUCGUCGGUCUUGCCUGCUGGUUUGCCUCCUUCGUUCUCGUGUUUAACAUGUACAGUACCAGAAUUACAAUGUCUACUCUGAAUUUCAAGGUUAGCUCACAGGGGCUGCAAGUAUGUUCUCUCUUCAGUUUAAGGAACAUGUGCGUUAUUGUGAUUCCAGUGACACUUACAAGAUGUCAGUUAAGUAGUGCAAUAUUACUUCAUUAGAUUUCUGUGUUUCGAUUUGUACAUGUAUGUAUUCUCUUUACUGUAUUUAUAUGAGCACGUUGAAAGCUACAGUCUUUCUCCUUUCGGCUCUCUGUUUUUUAUCUGUCUAAAAGUAAAGCAAGGAAAAUUAAUCCCUCUUCCUCUUGAUUUUGCCCUGUUAGAAUUGACUGAAAUGGAAUUUUAUAAGAAGCCCGUUGUAUCCACGAAGCGGAAUUGGCUUUCAACUCUUAUAUGCUUAAUUAUAUAGUUAGGAGGUUACUGUCAACAGGUGACAUUACCAGGGUUCAUGCUUCUCCUUCUGUUCCUUCUACAUACUCUGCUAUGAGAUUGCUAAACCACAUAUGCCAUGUGGUAGGGUUCAUGCUUCUCCUUACCUCUUGACAAAAUUUUCCUCUACAUGUGAAUAUAAACAACACCACAGGUUUCUCAUAUGAGUCUUUUAUGGUGUUCACGGAUGGCUGAAGCUUUUAGUAGCUAUGGAAUAGUGACUGUACAUUCUCCAGUCUUCACUAUGGAUUGUUUCUCUUUACAUGAAGUGUAGAUUUUCCCAGGACUACAACAAAACUCUGGCCAACAAGCAAUCCAUGAGGAUAUAUGAACUAUCAUCCACACAAUCUAGAUCGACAUAGUAGGAAGAUGAAUCGGUGCCUUGAGAGCUACCUUAAGAUGCAGGAUGUGCACACGUGUUUGUUUUCCACCAUAAUUAUGUGAGUUGAUUGCUCGGCAUUAUACGAAUUGGUUCAUGGUUUGUCCUCUUUGGAAAAUACCAAACUUUCUCCUCACUAUACUACUGUAUGCCGUGCCAGGUGUUGAAAUUUCUGGGUACACUAUUGUUUAGGAUAACUUUCUGCUUAUAUUCUGAUGCUUUACCUAUAACCAACUGUUUCUACUCGAAGUCCUUUGUGGUUGAUGAGAUUCUAGAUGAUGUGCUUUCUGAUUAGGUGUUACUGAGGUGAGUUUGUAUGAAUUUCUUAAUGCAAAUUUUUUCAGUCCAAGAAGCAUUAAAAUCUUGCUUCCGUCCCAAGGGAACAUGAUGAAAGGAUUUGUGCCAACUAAUCGUAUAGAUUAAUUAAAGGCACGGGUAAAAGAAGGUUCAGUUUACACCUUAGAAAAUUCAUCAUUGUUGAUGUGCGGAAUAAAUACAGAGUAGCAGAUCAUCCUUACAGAAUCAAAAUUACUCAGUGCUCAAAGGUUCAGGAAAUCACUCCACAACCUGAUAACCUUCCUCUAUUUUCAUAUAAUGCAACUCGAUUGAGGUCCUGCAGAUACGUGCAGUCGACAAUAGUCCUGUCAGGUAUUCACUUCACUGCACAUGUGAUCGAGUGCUUAUAUUAUUUAUGCUACUCAGUUAUCUAUUAUUGUUUCUUCUUAUUUUUCUACUCUGUAUUUAUUUCUGCUCUGUUAGGUAUUCACUUCAGUGCACAUGCUAGAUUAAAUUACACACUACCAUUGCGGCACACUGAUCUUACUCUGUUAUUUCCCCCAGCAAGCAGUAAGAUACCAUCUGCAUCAUCAGACCAACCUGUUCCAACUACCCGAGACAGAGAUGAAGCACUGUCGAUGUCGUUUUUCGUUGUUAUUUUCUUUCAGCUUUCUACUAGAAGCAUUAACUUCCCUGCUCAUUUUUCCGUUGGAGUUCCUCGCAGCAAUAGGCUUAGGAUAGCAGAUACAGAUACUGAAGUGCACAUGCUGCUGGUCAUCCUCGCUGAGCUCUGUUAAAAUUCUUUUUCAGUGCAACUGUUACUUAUUAAGUUUCUCAUGCCGCUAAAUUUGAAAUGACUGAUU
Molecule: long non-coding RNA, 2116 nt
Organism: Lolium rigidum
Lineage: Eukaryota; Viridiplantae; Streptophyta; Magnoliopsida; Poales; Poaceae
Exons: 5
Source: RefSeq, a predicted model, not a curated record